Molecule: long non-coding RNA, 1213 nt
Organism: Canis lupus familiaris (dog)
Lineage: Eukaryota; Metazoa; Chordata; Mammalia; Carnivora; Canidae
Exons: 3
Source: RefSeq, a predicted model, not a curated record
CCCUCUGGAGCCACGCGUGCGCAGUCGCCUAGGGUGGGACAGUGGGCGGGGCCGCCCCGCGCGCGCGCGCGUUCGCGCAUGCGUAGGCCUCCCCUCCCGAGGGCGCUUCCGGGAGGCCCGGGAGGGUGGGGUCUCCCGGCGGUUCCAGCCCCGCUGCAACCUCCCGCGAGUGCGGACUCUCGCCGUUCUCUGUCUUAUAAAUUACCUCCAAGGAUGGUGGCAGUAAAAGACGACAUUUAAGGUUUUAGAUUCCCUUCAAGUUAAAUGUCUUCCAAGUAGCUUAUUUGGCACUUGAAACUAAUGUAACGUGUCACAAACAUUAAAUUCAAACCUUUAUCUAGUUGACUCAGUUUUAAUAAAGGAAUAAAGAGGAAUUAAAAUUAACUAAAUUGAGGCUUUGUAACAUUGUUAGGAUUGGAGAAACUCUCAAACCCUGGUCAGAUUUCCUCCUCCCUCGGCAGGAUCUACCUACCCAAACUUAAGUGUGGUUAGUGUCAGUCUAGCCUCACGCAUCUUCCUGUGGGGUCAGCUGCAAAUAAUGCGAGAUGCAAGAUCUGAUUGCUGAACAGCUGUCUUCACGCUGAAGUAAGACCAGCUACUAAUUGGCAAUCUGAUUACGACGCAAAAACAUUUUCCACGGAAAUGAUGGCCACUUUUUGGUCGGCUGACUUACCUGGAGCCUUUCAGAUCCUUCCCGGAAUUGAGUGCGUUGAUAAUGGUAUAGGCACCGAGCACACAGUAUCUACCGCAAAACAGGCGCUUAAUGUAAGAAGGGUUCCCUUCCACAUCAGACUGAGGUGACCUAUGCAACAGGAAGUUUGUAGAAUUGUACCUACACCAAGAGUGCAGACUGCCCAGACAGCAUCUCAGUACUACAUGAAGAUCAGAAUUUUCCUGGUGAAACAUUUGCAUUGUAAUUUAGUGGUUUUGGAAAUCAUAAAAAAUAACAUAGCCAUCCUUCUAAGACCUGCUUAAUGGAAGAGCAGCUGUGACGAAUGGCCUAAUGUAGAACAAGACAGUAUUUGAAGAGUUAACUGAACAUGAAACUGACUUAAGAACGUCUACUUAACUGCAAAGGCAGAUGGUGAUUUAUAUGUAAGAAUGUUUGCUGCAGCACUGCUUAAACCCAUGUCAACAAAUUUAUAAACCAUUUCCCUAAUCAUGAUUUCUAACACUAAUUAAUAAAAUGAAAAAAUGCUCAUAAUAACAUAAA